This 488-nucleotide ribosomal RNA is filed under the name uncultured bacterium. RNAcentral describes it as "bacterial SSU rRNA". It matches the Rfam family "Bacterial small subunit ribosomal RNA", at positions 28 to 507 of the family's 1533-position model. The record is from RNAcentral.
GACGAACGCUGGCGGCGUGCUUAACACAUGCAAGUCGAACGAGAGGAGAAGGAAGCUUGCUUCUUUCAAAUCUAGUGGCAAACGGGUGAGUAACACGUAAACAACCUGCCUUCAGGAUGGGGACAACAGACGGAAACGACUGCUAAUACCGAAUACGUUCCUUAGGUCGCAUGACUUUAGGAAGAAAGGGUGGCCUCUACUUGUAAGCUAUCGCCUGAAGAGGGGUUUGCGUCUGAUUAGGUAGUUGGUGAGGUAACGGCCCACCAAGCCGACGAUCAGUAGCCGGUCUGAGAGGAUGAACGGCCACACUGGAACUGAGACACGGUCCAGACUCCUACGGGAGGCAGCAGUGGGGAAUAUUGGGCAAUGGGCGAAAGCCUGACCCAGCGACGCCGCGUGAGGGAAGACGGUCUUCGGAUUGUAAACCUCUUUCAGCAGGGAAGAAGCAAGUGACGGUACCUGCAGAAGAAGUCACGGCUAACUACGUG